Molecule: ribosomal RNA, 447 nt
Filed under: uncultured soil bacterium
Lineage: Bacteria
Description: bacterial SSU rRNA
Rfam family: Bacterial small subunit ribosomal RNA
Source: RNAcentral
AGAACGAACGCUGGCGGCAUGCCUAAUACAUGCAAGUCGAACGAACUCUUCGGAGUUAGUGGCGCACGGGUGCGUAACGCGUGGGAAUCUGCCCCUUGGUUCGGAAUAACAGUUGGAAACGACUGCUAAUACCGGAUGAUGACGAAAGUCCAAAGAUUUAUCGCCAAGGGAUGAGCCCGCGUAGGAUUAGCUAGUUGGUGAGGUAAAGGCUCACCAAGGCAACGAUCCUUAGCUGGUCUGAGAGGAUGAUCAGCCACACUGGGACUGAGACACGGCCCAGACUCCUACGGGAGCAGCAGUAGGGAAUAUUGGACAAUGGGCGAAAGCCUAGAUCCAGCAAUGCCGCGUGAGUGAUGAAGGCCUUAGGGUUGUAAGCUUACGUUUUACCCGAGAUGAUAAUGACUAGUAUACGGGAAGUAAGUAACGCCCCGGACUUAACCGUCCGUA